UGUCUUCUUAACAAAAGCCGGAAAAGGACACUCUCUAAAUUUGGUUUAUCUUCCAUUACAAGCUUAUCUAAACGCCUGACUCAGAUUCCUAUUCACUAUAUAACUUCUGUGAUUUCUUACUUUCUUGAGAAUUACAAUAGUUUGGUUAUAGUUUCCGUUCCUAAAGGCUGGUUCGGGGAGGCUGAAUCAACAACUGGUAAAUAAAGGACUAUUUAUUAACUUAUAAUGUUCUUUUAAACUUCACUCAAAUACAACUGUGUAGUUUAUAGCUUCUGUGAUUUCUUACUUUCUUGAGAAUUACAAUAGUUUGGUUAUAGUUUCCGUUCCUAAAGGCUGGUUCGGGGAGGCUGAAUCAACAACUGCCUAGGAAUCAAUUUGUGGGAAACAUCGCUUAAUAAGAUGUCGCAAGUAAACACCUCAUAUCACCUGGAUGAAAAUUAGUCAGCAGUUUUAAAUAUUGUCAAUCAAUCGAAUCAGGUCAACUAACAUAAGAUGGAAGAUCAAUUAUUUGGAUUCAUGGAACAUGGCUGAAAAAAAAGAUCACAAUGAUGAUUACGAUGAUGAUGAUGAUGAUUACAAACAGAAGAAGAUGAUGAUGUUUACAGCAAUAAUUAUAUGCAAAAAUCAUUAAGUUAUAUAUUUAUAAGAAUAAUUUAUUGUUUUUAAUGAUUUCAUCUGUUAGUCAUGCAGAUCUAAAACAUUAAUUAGUUACUAAGAUUAACAAAUGUCUGUAAUUUCUUCUUUUGGAAUAUAUUUGGAUUCUGAUCAGC
Molecule: long non-coding RNA, 770 nt
Filed under: Anneissia japonica
Lineage: Eukaryota; Metazoa; Echinodermata; Crinoidea; Comatulida; Comatulidae
Description: uncharacterized LOC117116192, transcript variant X1
Source: RNAcentral